Molecule: ribosomal RNA, 253 nt
Filed under: uncultured bacterium
Lineage: Bacteria
Description: partial 16S ribosomal RNA
Rfam family: Bacterial small subunit ribosomal RNA
Source: RNAcentral
UACGGAGGAUCCGAGCGUUAUCCGGAUUUAUUGGGUUUAAAGGGAGCGUAGGUGGAUUGUUAAGUCAGUUGUGAAAGUUUGCGGCUCAACCGUAAAAUUGCAGUUGAAACUGGCAGUCUUGAGUACAGUAGAGGUGGGCGGGAUUCGUGGUGUAGCGGUGAAAUGCUUAGAUAUCACGAAGAACUCCGAUUGCGAAGGCAGCUCACUGGACUGCAACUGACACUGAGGCUCGAAAGUGUGGGUAUCAAACAGG